This 146-nucleotide unclassified non-coding RNA is filed under the name Monilinia fructigena. RNAcentral describes it as "ITS1". Lineage: Eukaryota; Fungi; Ascomycota; Leotiomycetes; Helotiales; Sclerotiniaceae. The record is from RNAcentral.
CAGAGUUCAUGCCCGAAAGGGUAGACCUCCCACCCUUGUGUAUCAUUACUUUGUUCCUUUGGCGAGCUGCCUUCGGGCCUUGUGCGCUCGCCAGAGAAUAAUCAAACUCUUUUUAUCAAUGUCGUCUGAGUACUAUGUAAUAGUUA